UGUGUUUGUAAGUGUGUAAGGGCGCACGUGGGAUAUGCCGUGACUCUGGGAGCCGAUGAAGGACGUGGGAGA
This 72-nucleotide ribosomal RNA is filed under the name uncultured Mycobacterium sp. RNAcentral's name for it is "partial 23S ribosomal RNA". The record is from RNAcentral. Lineage: Bacteria; Bacillati; Actinomycetota; Actinomycetes; Mycobacteriales; Mycobacteriaceae.